Molecule: long non-coding RNA, 280 nt
Filed under: Lathyrus oleraceus (garden pea)
Lineage: Eukaryota; Viridiplantae; Streptophyta; Magnoliopsida; Fabales; Fabaceae
Description: Pisum sativum (pea) long non-coding RNA (PSAT_LNC002866)
Source: RNAcentral
UUAACCCCUUUGAGCUUAAACAGUUGAAUCUCAGCUUGAAAUAAAGCGAGAUGUCAAAAAUCUUUUUUCUUGAAACCCGGAAAAUUUUGAUAAUUGUUCUUUUGCCGUAAAAAGUCAAGAGCAUUCACUUAGGGUGAGUAAGAAAUAAGUUGGGGAGAACGAAAAAGAGAAUCGGUAAGUGCCACAACUCUUGAAAAACCGAGCAAGCAUUGAAAAUAAAAAAAAAAUAAAAAUAUAGAAAAGAGAAACAUCUGUUUUGUAAAUAUGAUGUGAAAGAAAA